This 253-nucleotide ribosomal RNA is filed under the name uncultured bacterium. RNAcentral's name for it is "partial 16S ribosomal RNA". It matches the Rfam family "Bacterial small subunit ribosomal RNA", at positions 524 to 776 of the family's 1533-position model. The record is from RNAcentral.
UACGGAGGGGGCUAGCGUUGUUCGGAAUUACUGGGCGUAAAGCGUGCGCAGGCGGUUAUGUAAGACAGUUGUGAAAUCCCCGGGCUCAACCUGGGAACUGCAUCUGUGACUGCAUAGCUAGAGUACGGUAGAGGGGGAUGGAAUUCCGCGUGUAGCAGUGAAAUGCGUAGAUAUGCGGAGGAACACCGAUGGCGAAGGCAAUCCCCUGGACCUGUACUGACGCUCAUGCACGAAAGCGUGGGGAGCAAACAGG